AUACGGAGGGUCCAAGCGUUAUCGGGAAUCAUUGGGUUUAAAGGGUCCGCAGGCGGUCAAUUAAGUCAGAGGUGAAAGCCCAUCGCUCAACGAUGGAACUGCCUUUGAUACUGGUUGACUUGAGUUAUACGGAAGUAGAUAGAAUAAGUAGUGUAGCGGUGAAAUGCAUAGAUAUUACUUAGAAUACCGAUUGCGAAGGCAGUCUACUACGUAUAUACUGACGCUGAGGGACGAAAGCGUGGGGAGCGAACAGGAUUAGAAACCCUAGUAGUCC
This 274-nucleotide ribosomal RNA is filed under the name uncultured bacterium. RNAcentral describes it as "partial 16S ribosomal RNA". It matches the Rfam family "Bacterial small subunit ribosomal RNA", at positions 523 to 796 of the family's 1533-position model. The record is from RNAcentral.